This is a long non-coding RNA of Myripristis murdjan (pinecone soldierfish), 1259 nucleotides long. RefSeq lists it as uncharacterized. The record is from RefSeq and is a predicted model, not a curated record. Lineage: Eukaryota; Metazoa; Chordata; Actinopteri; Holocentriformes; Holocentridae. The transcript is spliced from 2 exons.
AUAGUCUCUUCCUCCUCCCCUUCCCCCUCCUUUUCGCUUGCUCCACACCAGGUGUGGGUCAUCUCGCGGCACUAAUUGCGGGGUGGAGCCGCUAGCCUUUUAACUGCUCCGGUGUGUGUGUUUGCUCAGUGUGCUACCUUGUCUCCCUCGGGGCUGGCGUCCGUGUGUGUGUCGGCGUUCCAUGUGCUUUGAACCGUGUGGCGGUUGGCGUUGCCGAUUUCGCCAGGUCUUCUCCAUCUCUCCGAAAAUUUGAGGCUGUCGGCUGGCUGCGGCUGUGUGGGACUGGAGGUCGUCUACGCUGUUGUUCGCUCUCUCCAGGUAUGUCGGCUCAGUUCACCCAACGGCAGCUGUAGUCCAGCUCGCUAGUGGCUGCUAUCCGGCUAGCCGCUAAACUUUCUUUUUGUGGUCUCUCAGCAGCGUUUAGCUGCGGCCUGCUGCUCUCCCUCUCCUCCCCGGCGGAGACGCUGUGCCUGUGCUCUGUGCUCUGUGGUAGGUGGCCUGUAGCCAGGUUACGCCUGGUCAUUCACAUGGUAACCCACAUAAUUGUAAAUGCUAUUUUGUGUGCGCACUUCGUAGGCACGUUUUGGCCUGGCUGUGCGCUGCGGUGCUCCACUCUCCGGCGGUCAACGCUCUGGUGCACCGGGACUCUACUGCUGUCUUGUUUGGGCUGUCUUGUAUUGCUGUGUAUGCUGCCUUGUCAAUUAGUUUAUCUAUUGUUUUGCAUGUCGCAUGUGUUGCACAGCCGCAUUUAUAUUGUUGGCUCCCACUGUGGCCGCAAUUACGCCACUGUUUAUUUUAUCCUGUUUGUUAUCGCCAGUGACUACUAUAAGUGCCGUGCUGUGAUUGGCUGAUCUCCCGCACCAUUGUACGCGGGGACGAACUGCAAUUGGCCCACUUUUGGGUCAGUCCCAGUAAACCCUGAUUUAUUUUAUUUAUUUACUUGGUGUUGUAUAUUAUGAAUAUUGUGUUUUGAGUUUAUUAUAAUUUGCUCUGCUUUAUUUUUGUUUUCUUUCUUAAUGUUUUUGUGUGCUUAUGUUUGGUUUGUGUGAGGUUUAAGUGUGUUUAAUUCAUUGUUUAUUCCUUUGGUUGUUUUGAGUUUUUUUUCUUUAUUGUAAUUGCUUUGAUUUCCUAUGCAUACUGGUACUGGUGACCCUAAGUGAUAUUGUUGUAGUGGCCAUAUUACAGUAUUUGAAAAGACCUGUCACUGUUUGUAUUCUACCUUGUUAAUAUUGUGAAAAAUAAAUCUAUUUUUAUAUUGA